RNAcentral lists this transfer RNA (81 nucleotides) under Cellulomonadaceae bacterium. RNAcentral's name for it is "tRNA-Leu". It matches the Rfam family "tRNA". Rfam says of the family: Transfer RNA (tRNA) molecules are approximately 80 nucleotides in length. Their secondary structure includes four short double-helical elements and three loops (D, anti-codon, and T loops). The record is from RNAcentral. Lineage: Bacteria; Bacillati; Actinomycetota; Actinomycetes; Micrococcales; Cellulomonadaceae.
GCCUCAGUGGCGGAAUGGCAGACGCGCUCGACUCAAAAUCGAGUUCCGAGAGGAGUGUGGGUUCGACUCCCACCUGAGGCA